UACGUAGGGACCAGGCGUUGUUCGGAUUUACUGGGCGUAAAGGGCGCGUAGGCGGCAAUUCAAGUCAUCUGUGAAAUCUCCGGGCUUAACCCGGAACGGUCAGGUGAUACUGUUUUGCUAGAGUGCGGAAGGGGCAAUCGGAAUUCUCGGUGUAGCGGUGAAAUGCGUAGAUAUCGAGAGGAACACCAGAGGUGAAGACGGGUUGCUGGGCCGACACUGACGCUGACAGCGCGAAAGCCAGGGGAGCAAACGGG
Molecule: ribosomal RNA, 254 nt
Filed under: uncultured bacterium
Lineage: Bacteria
Description: partial 16S ribosomal RNA
Rfam family: Bacterial small subunit ribosomal RNA
Source: RNAcentral